UGUCUCACUUCCUCUCCUUCUUGCUUCCUUGUUGAUAAUGAUAACGUCCUUUGCAUUACAUGUGUCAUCUUCAAGAUUUCUCACUCGUCACACCUUUGUAGGGUCCUUUUGAGUCUUGUGUUGGAAAUGUCAAAUUUCCCAUCCAGCUUCCACCCAGAAGUGCUGGUUCUGGAUCCAGGGGAGCAGCAGAGGGCCCUGGUGCCUCUUCCUGCCGGCUGGCUUUCGCUUUUGAAGAGCUUUGAAGAAUAAAGGGAGGGAGGAGGAGGGGAAAUCGAGGGCAAAGGGAAAGAGAAAGAAUGGGAGGGUGGAGAGCUAUACAAAUGUUGACCAGCUCUGGUCAUCAGAAAGCCAUCCAAUAAAACCCACAAUUAACACCAAGACGAGAAACGUUGAUGAAUCAGCCUGCUAUGGACCAAGUAUGUGCUAAACAGUGGCGAUUAAAUGAGGGGCAAAAGACACCUCUAAAGGAUUAUUGGUGAUGAUAAAGACUUAGCUGGUCUGUUCUGAAGGGAUUGGGCCAAUCGUCCGUGGUUGUGGGUUGAAAAUCUGCUAGGUCAUCUAAGCGAGCACUCAAAGUGAAAUGGGUUUUUGGAAGGGGAAAUGGAGUGGUUUUUUCCUCUCACGUCUUCCUGCCCGGGAAUAUUCCUCCGCCCUGAAAAUGCCUGCUUCUCGCCCUCCUUGCUGUCAAGGUUUUGACAAGGCGGUGCGGCCUUGAAAGAAGUCUGUGAGCGGGGAAGCCAGGACGUCGGUGAAGUGCUGGUUCUGGAUCCAGGGGAGCAGCAGAGGGCCCUGGCGCCUCUUCCUGCCGGCUGGCUUUCGCUUUUGAAGAGCUUUGAAGAAGAAAGGGAGGAAGGGGGAGGGGAAAGGGAAAGGGAAAGAGCGGGAGGGUGGAGAGCUAUGCAAAUGUUGAGCAGGCCCGUAGGCAAGGGUUUGUGGGCCGCAGGAAAGUGUUUUCUUGGCGGAAGAAAGUGGCCCAACGUGGCAAAGGUCCGUUUCGUGGCGUGCUUGUGGGCGCCGGUGUGGUCGGGUCAAGGCGCAGGGCUGUCAUCUGUUUUGUCGGGUGUAGGGAGGUAGAGAAGGGCGGCGGAGGCUCGGUGAGCGUUUUAGUAGUGGGCGCGAGUGCAAAAGGGUGCUGUGGAGAAGGGCGAGGGGAGUGAGCGAGCGUGUAGUUAUCGCUUCUCGGCCUUUUGGCUAAGAUCAAGUGUAGUAUCUGUUCUUAUCAGUUUAAUAUCUGAUACGUCCUCUAUCUGAGGACAAUAUAUUAAAUGGAUUUUUGAACUUAGGAGAUGGAAUAGGAGCUUGCUCCGUCCACUCCACGCAUCGACCCAGUAUUGCAGUACUUCUGGGAACGGUGCAUUUCCCUUCGGGGAUUGU
Molecule: long non-coding RNA, 1374 nt
Organism: Antechinus flavipes (yellow-footed antechinus)
Lineage: Eukaryota; Metazoa; Chordata; Mammalia; Dasyuromorphia; Dasyuridae
Exons: 2
Source: RefSeq, a predicted model, not a curated record